RNAcentral lists this long non-coding RNA (1218 nucleotides) under Homo sapiens (human). Its description in RNAcentral is "HSALNT0359315". The record is from RNAcentral. Lineage: Eukaryota; Metazoa; Chordata; Mammalia; Primates; Hominidae.
UGGAGCGCCCGGGCCCUCGGGCCCCGUGGGUCACAGCGGUUUGGCGCUCGGGUUGCAAAGUGGUGAUUCAGCACUUAAAGCCGCCACCGCUGCCCCUCACGCCGCCCGUCCCGCCGGCCUGGGGCCCGUACUGCCGCGCUGAGGCCGCCCCAGGGCCCGGAAGAGCGGCUCGCCAGGCGGGAGCCAGAGGCCUGGUCCAGAGUCGGGGACGUCCCUUGGGCUGGUGAGGGGCCGGGGCCGCUACCCGGGGCCACGGGGCGUGUGCCACUAGUGCGGGGGGCGCAGGGGCGGACAGAGUCACCCGGCCUGCACCUGGGAGCCGCGCCGCGUCACUCUCCCGGAGUCCGCCUGUGAGGGGGCCGGGAACCUGAGGCGGACUCGAGCCGUGGGGUAAAGGAAUCCGGCGACUUCGGGGGGACCGCUUCUCACCUUGCCCUCAGCCCUGCCCUUUUCUCCGGGCACUGAGUUUCCAGGACCGUGUGGAAUGCCCGCGCUGGGAAAAAAGUUUGCCUGCCUCCCGCCUUGGAAGACGAGUGUGGGGUUUCCUAUCGGGGGACAUUUAGGAGCCAAAAGAUACCUCGGGAUCCUCUACAGCAGCUCCCUUGUUUUACGUCGGAGACAACCGGAGCUCCGAGAGAUGGCUUGAUUUCCCAGCAACUGCCGAGAUUGUGGCAAAACCAGGAUUAGGACACAGGUUUUUUGCCAUCCGGCGGCGUGCCCUCUCCACUGCACCGUUGAUCUGCGUACGCUAGGCGUUUUCAGGCUUGUAGUGAACGCUGAAUACUUUUUACUACGAAUGGAAGAAGAUAGGCAGUAUUAUCUUGCCCUCCCUAGAAACGUUAUUUGAACCCCUGCUGGUUUUAAUCAGUAAUAGCCAGCACCUACUAAGUGCAGGGCACUGUGCUGGACCCUCUAUGUAAAGUAUGUGUCUGCCUUCCAAGGAACUUUGACUUGAUUGGAGCGGAUUGGGAUGCCACGGGAAUUGAGAUAGCUACAAGGGAACUACCAGGUUGUUUUUCAAAGCAGCGGCACUAUUUUGCAUUUCCACCAGCAGUGUGUGAAAAUUCCAAUUUCUCUAUAUCCUUGACAACACUUGCUAUAUGUACUUUUGUUAUAAGCCAUCCUGGUGGGUAUGAAGUGGUGUCUCAUUGGAAUUUUGACUUUCAUUUUCCUGAUGACCAGCUGGAGUGCAAUGGCACUAUCACGGCUCACCGCAAC